AACCCAACCUGUUGCCUUCCCAAACUGUUCGUUCUCCUUCCACCCACGCAGAUGCGGCGCCGCCUGGUUCCCCUUCCCCUCCUCCCGCAUUGCACGCAGCGACAGCCAGGGCGCGUGCAGCGGUGCUGCCGCUCAGCUCACUCCCUCCCUCCCCUCGCGUCGGUUCCCUUACCUGGGCAGCAGUACGCCAGGGAGGCAGAGAGCUCCCCGAGCAGGCGCCCCACUCCCAUAGGCUGUGGCUCUUUCUCUCCCAUCGCCCUUGGUUUGUUCGUCUCCUCGGGCUGUCGCAAAACGAAUUCACCCUUCACCUCCCUGGUGAGUAAUAGCCACCUAUUUCACUGUAAUAAUCCGCCUUUUAAUUCCUGUAACUGAUGGUCAAGGUGAGAGGCCAAACUUUGGAUUUCUUUUAUGGUUGAGGGGAGUUUUUAAGAGGGAUUGAGAGCUAUUAAUUGCUUUGUUUGGUUAGGAGAUAUGAAAAUUUUGGUGGGUUGGGGAUGGGGAAUUGAGGAAUGAACUCUAUUCUUUUCAAUACCUAUGUAAGGGGUGGUAAUUUGAAGAUAAUUCCUCCUUUACUUCGCCUAAACAAAUCUCAGCCAUCCGUUUUCAUUAAUGACCUAAUGUCCAACUAAACUCCCUAUCAAUUUCCACCACCUCUACCAAACAAGAGACUGGGAUGAAAAAACAAAUUCCCAUCUUAAUCUCAUCAUCAAUUCCCUCAUGUAAACUCCCAAUCUCAUUCCCUCAAGUUGCCAAACAAGCCGUUAAGUCGUGCAUGUGCCCUCAACCCUUCCCUCUCCUCUUUUGCAGCACCAACCAUGUCCUUUGCAGGUUUGUAGCAUAUAUAUCAUGUGAUGGUUCAAUUUUAUGGUAUGGCCGGCGUUGGUUGGAAAUAUUUUCAGAUGCCCCUGUCAUAUGUUAAAAGGAAUGGCUGAAUGAGGAUCAUAUAAUAAGCAUGGAUCUUUCUAUAUCCUUCAACCCUGUUGUUGUCAUCAAAUGGUGGUUUUUUCAUGUUAAGAACGAAUUCAAGGUGGACUGGUGUUUUUUUAUAAUCCGUGAGAACUGGUAAUUAUCACCUCAAAUUUGUUCACUUUUAUGGUGGUUUCUUAAUCGUAUUGAAAUAGUUAAAUUUUAACUUAUACCUGCACACUAUCAUCUUUGAAUCACUUUGUCUCAUGUGACCAUGACCUUUGAUUUUAGAAGGUCACCAACAGUCAAUGGUGGGCUGAUUGAGUUUGCAGUUUUAUAUGUAUAUGUAUAUAUCACCAACAAAAAGUCAUUACAAUGAAAUAGAUGGAUGGUUGGUUCAGUAUUUUUUUUUUACAAAGAACUAAUUGCUCAGAUUUACUCGAUUGUCAGAUUUAUUACUCAAUACAAUUAAAAAAAAUCCUUUAGUUAAUUGUCUUGCGCGCUGCACAUACCACCAACAUUGGCAAUUCAUAUUGGUAUUUCCUUUUUUAUUCGCACCACAAUAAUUCGUGUAGUUGCUACUGUCUAAUUUAUACUCCGAUACAGAGUUCUUUUUUAUUUCUUUCAGUUCAGUCUUUAGGAUCAAUAAUAAGUUCAGAACUUCAUAUUACUGACCUGGUCUUUUUCUUGGUAUGUUCUUUCCUACAAUGAAGUGUACACUACGGGAUAUUUUGAUUUUUAGUUAUGGACAUAAUUUUUAUCUAAUAUUUUAUUUUGUUUUCCUACUACUAGAAUAUGCAGGGGAAAGAGGAAUCAAUAAUUAAAAUAUUGAUAUCGCAACAUGCUUCUUGCUGGUGAAUAAACACUUGAACAAAUCUAGCAGCUAACUUAGGUGCGGUCAAUCACAUAAUCUUUGUUAUUGAUCCUAUAAUUUCUUGCAAAUAUUCCUUAUUUAAGAAUCAAGCAAACUAAUUGUGUUGUAAGCCUAAAGAUUGUAUUUAAUUCCAGUCAAAAAAAAGAUUGUAUUUAAUUAUUUUUUUAAUUCAGUAUGCCUUACAUGCUAUACUGUGCACCACUAAAAAGUACGUCAUAGUUUAGAUUUUAGUAGUACGUGACGAGCAGAACUGUUGCACCUUUGCAUUCGUUUUGCAUAGCAACAAAACAAGCAUGUGGUUCUGUUAGUCUAUUGAUUUUUUUUCUCUUGCCUAUGUUUAUUUGUUGCUCCCAUGUCUCAAAAUAGAUGUCCUCUUAUAGGAGUAUUCAAUCAAGUGAUGCUCACACACCUAAUAUUUUUAUUUUCUAAUUCUCUGUAACUGUACAAUUUCACUCUUUUUCGCUAUGAUUUAAGUUUUGUUCUCCAGUUAAA
Oryza sativa Japonica Group (Japanese rice) is the source of this 2272-nucleotide non-coding RNA. The record is from RefSeq and is a predicted model, not a curated record. Lineage: Eukaryota; Viridiplantae; Streptophyta; Magnoliopsida; Poales; Poaceae.